GAUGAACGCUGGCGGCGUGCCUAAUACAUGCAAGUCGAGCGAACGGACGAGAAGCUUGCUUCUCUGACGUUAGCGGCGGACGGGUGAGUAACACGUGGAUAACCUACCUAUAAGACUGGGAUAACUUCGGGAAACCGGAGCUAAUACCGGAUAAUAUUUUGAACCGCAUGGUUCAAUAGUGAAAGACGGUUUUGCUGUCACUUAUAGAUGGAUCCGCGCUGCAUUAGCUAGUUGGUAAGGUAACGGCUUACCAAGGCAACGAUGCGUAGCCGACCUGAGAGGGUGAUCGGCCACACUGGAACUGAGACACGGUCCAGACUCCUACGGGAGGCAGCAGUAGGGAAUCUUCCGCAAUGGGCGAAAGCCUGACGGAGCAACGCCGCGUGAGUGAUGAAGGUCUUCGGAUCGUAAAACUCUGUUAUUAGGGAAGAACAUAUGUGUAAGUAACUAUGCACAUCUUGACGGUACCUAAUCAGAAAGCCACGGCUAACUACGUG
This 497-nucleotide ribosomal RNA is filed under the name uncultured bacterium. Its description in RNAcentral is "partial 16S ribosomal RNA". It matches the Rfam family "Bacterial small subunit ribosomal RNA", at positions 28 to 507 of the family's 1533-position model. The record is from RNAcentral.